CCUACGGGAGGCAGCAGUGGGGAAUAUUGCACAAUGGGGGAAACCCUGAUGCAGCGACGCCGCGUGAGUGAAGAAGUAUUUCGGUAUGUAAAGCUCUAUCAGCAGGGAAGAAAAAAGACGGUACCUGACUAAGAAGCCCCGGCUAACUACGUGCCAGCAGCCGCGGUAAUACGUAGGGGGCAAGCGUUAUCCGGAUUUACUGGGUGUAAAGGGAGCGUAGACGGUAUGGCAAGUCUGAAGUGAAAGCCCGGGGCCCAACCCCGGGACUGCUCUUGGAACUGCGCGGCUGGAGUGCAGGAGGGGCAGGCGGAAUUCCUGGUGUAGCGGUGAAAUGCGUAGAUAUCAGGAGGAACACCGGUGGCGAAGGCGGCCUGCUGGACUGUAACUGACGUUGAGGCUCGAAAGCGUGGGGAGCAAACAGGAUUAGAUACCCUAGUAGUC
This 441-nucleotide ribosomal RNA is filed under the name uncultured bacterium. Its description in RNAcentral is "partial 16S ribosomal RNA". It matches the Rfam family "Bacterial small subunit ribosomal RNA", at positions 338 to 795 of the family's 1533-position model. The record is from RNAcentral.